CCUACGGGGGGCAGCAGUGAGGAAUAUUGGUCAAUGGGCGCGAGCCUGAACCAGCCAAGUCGCGUGAAGGAUGACUGUCCUAUGGGUUGUAAACUUCUUUUAUAGAGGAGUAAAACGCGCCACGCGUGCCUUUCUGCGUGUACUUUAUGAAAAAGCAUCGGCUAACUCCGUGCCAGCAGCCGCGGUAAUACGGAGGAUCCGAGCGUUAUCCGGAUUUAUUGGGUUUAAAGGGUGCGCAGGUGGGAUGUUAAGUCAGCGGUGAAAUUUUGCGGCUCAACCGU
This 281-nucleotide ribosomal RNA is filed under the name uncultured bacterium. RNAcentral describes it as "partial 16S ribosomal RNA". It matches the Rfam family "Bacterial small subunit ribosomal RNA", at positions 338 to 616 of the family's 1533-position model. The record is from RNAcentral.